Molecule: transfer RNA, 68 nt
Filed under: Typhlonectes natans (Rio Cauca caecilian)
Lineage: Eukaryota; Metazoa; Chordata; Amphibia; Gymnophiona; Typhlonectidae
Description: tRNA-Pro
Source: RNAcentral
CAGAAGGUAGUUUAGGUAGAAUUUUGGUUCUGGGUACCAAUGGCGAGGAUGUUUAUCCUCUCUUCUGA